This is a long non-coding RNA of Haemorhous mexicanus (house finch), 4135 nucleotides long. RefSeq lists it as uncharacterized. The transcript has 2 exons. Lineage: Eukaryota; Metazoa; Chordata; Aves; Passeriformes; Fringillidae. The record is from RefSeq and is a predicted model, not a curated record.
AAUCAGCAUCUAAUUGAGUCACUUGUGUCUGGCUUCCGGCAUCAAUACAACGUCAUUGCUCAGUGUUUUUUCCUUUUCCACUGACACCGCUGAUGCACACUGUUAGAGAGUGCUGCUUAAUUAAACCACAGUGACAGGAAAAGUGACCCAAAAACGCAGAGUCUAAUAAAGCCAUGAGCAUAAAAGUUGUACUUCUUCACCUUAGACGUCAGUUAUGAUGUAGUUUUUACCAGAGCACUGCAAACAUUUUAUACAUUUUUGUAUUUUUAACUCUCCAGUAAGUUAAGUAAGGUAACACAGUAGGGACUACAAGAGCUGCUGCUUAUGCAGAGUUGAAUUUGGUUCAUCCCAGGCAUGAGACAUUGUAAUUCUAUGUAAUUCUGGAGGGACACACAGACUGACAUGAAUUUCAGGAGCUGUCUGAGGUUGUCCUGCAGGAGGUUAACUGGACAGAAGUGUGCAGGGUUCACACAGCCGAAGAAUCCUCUUCUCUUUAAUGCAAGGCCUCUGCUACAAUAACAUUCAUGCCCUCGGAGAGUCUGCCAGCAGAUAAGUAAGGAUGACAGCAUUGUGUGAUUCAUGGGUGAACCUUUCCACAAUCACCUUAUAAAGCAAGAGGAUUAAGGACAGGAACGCUGUGACUCCAUCCAGUUCAGGUAUGCACUCCCAACAUCCUUGUUUGCUGUGUUGCUAGGUGUUCUACCUACCUACAUACCACAUACGUCCCACGCUGCUGAUAGGAGCUUAAAAAAAUUAUCAGCAAUUAAAUGUUAAUAAUGGCCUGAGCCAGGCACAGUGUCAAUAUCUAUUAUGUCCCCCUGACAUACUUCUGUCAAUGAACAUGCACAUGUCUGUAAGUGUGCAUGCCACUAGGGCGUGGGUUAGUGUUAAAGAUGGUGUCAAGAUUGAAGAUCAAUGCUAAGAAAACUGAAACAAACAAAAAACCAAGAUGUUUUAAGUCACCAGCUAACAUCUUCAUGCAGAGUUGUCCCUUAUUCUGAGCUCUUAAGUAAAAAGAGAGUAUUUACUUUAAAAAAAAAAUUAAAUUAUUCAUAGUCAUGGCCCUAAUUAUUCAUAAUACUCUUUUCCUAAUUAUUGCUGUACUAUCAACAAGGUUCUUCUUUUAAAUAAAGGAUAGCAUCCAAGAAGUUACAACUCAUUUAAGCUCAAUAUGGGAGAUGGGUAAUAGGCCAGGACAAAUGUACAAUGUACAAUGAUGCAUAAUAGGCCAUGUACAAAUGUACAUACAGGCGAGUACAAUGCACAAUUUGACAAAAAAGGAAGAACAGCAUAAUUAACUACAAAAUUACAAUCUAGACUUUCCCACCUAACCACCCAGAGCAUAUCCUUAUCUUUAACUCUUUCUUUUGGCUCUCUCUCAACAGCUUAUGGGUUUGAGGAUACCAUUCUCAGGCACCUGGCUGUUCCCACACACUGCAGGAAUCUUGCCUACACAAAUACCACUCCAUCCAGGAUAUCACUGUGGGAGUCAGAUGGAGUUAGCUGCUUUGGCACCUAACUCCUUGGUAUCACAAUUCCAUGCUGGAUCUAACCCAAAGUUCUCAGAUGCAGUAAAAGAGCUCAGCAUGGUUAAAGCCAGACAAGUUGAGCUGAUUAGCACUACCGAUAGAACUGGUCCUAAUAGCACAAUAUAUCAUAUAGAUGUUUUGGACGACAAAACCUUUCCACUGAAUUCAAUAGACCUUGAAUCUCUAAUUCUGUGAAAAGAACAUUUCCAGGUGUAUUUAUAGUAAGGCUUUUCAUCUCUAUUAUUUACCACUACCAUUAAAAUCCAAACAAUGACUGUGAUUUUUAUGAUUUAUGCAGUGAUAGAUAUAGUCCACACUUGCCAAAUCAACUCUGGCUUUACUGUAAUGUCUCCCAGGAGCCAUGGCUAGCACAAGGGUCUAACUGUCACCUUCUCUACACUGCCAAAACCAAAAACAAUCAAAAAUUCUCUCACUUUUCCAAGAUGGUGAAACAAUUUAGCAGCACCAAAAAAGAAAACCAGAUUUGGGGAGAAAUAAUGAUAAUGGUCAUUAUUAUGAUGAGAAUGAGCAUAAUGAUGAUGAGAAAUAAUGAUAAUAUGGAUAAUGAUGCAUAGAUAGAUGUCUGCUUUAGUGAGAGGUCCAGUUUUUCUUCUGUCAGUGUAAAAUGAUCACACUGCAUCUAGUCAUGCACUUUUCCUUAUGUGUGUGCUACUUUAAGAAGUGAAAGUCAUUGUUACUGCUGAAACAUUUGUCUUCCAGGGCAGCAGGGGAAGUCCCCAGAUUUGUGUUGAUGACUCUGCUCUCUGACCGCUGGCUUUCUGGGACACCAGGGACUCAGACUUCUCUGGGAUUUUCAUUUUAUUCCCCUUUGAGGCUUACAUCAUUGGAAUAGGUCACAAAUAACCUUUAGAGAUGUGGUAUGCCUAGCAGUAUCUUUCACUCUAGAUAAGGAGUGACUGCCAUCCAUUUCAUCAGUUGUAAUUAUAAUGCUCAAGAGUUUUGCCUUAGGGUUAGGUGUGCUUGGUUUAAAAUUCUUGACUGUCAAACCUGAAGAAAACUGGCAAAGCACUCCAUAAGCUCAUUCACUGUUUUUCUCUUUUUUUUUUUUUUUUCAGGAAAAUUAGCCAGUCUAAAAGCUUCUACUUGUGUAAACAGAUAUGUGUUGAAGAAAGUUCAAACGAGCACUUCCAAACUAUACUCCAUUUUAUAGCACAGGGCUCCCCAGAGCUGAUUUAGCUAUGUGCUAAGUGAAUGAUGGAGAAGAGAGUAGGGAAAAUAUCAAAAGAAUUAAGGAUAAAGAGAAAGAUGACAAAUCUGAACUAGCUGGGGUUUACAACAUUGGUAAAACAUGUAGAUUUAGAUGACUGAGUCAGAGAGAUUUUUCCUUCCUUGUACCAGAGUACACCCUCCAUGUACCACCGAAGUACAUCCCUUCUGUCUGUGAUUCCAGCUGACCUAGACAAGGAGAGAGACAAGGCCAGGGCCAUGCAGCUUCCUGUGUCAGAGUAGAGAGUGUAUCACUCAGGGACAUGACUGGGCAGUGUAAAGGAACAGACCAGUGCAGUCUGUGGAUUCACAUCCACAAUUGUACCAGUCUGUCUCAUCACACGUGCCACACUGUACUUAAAGUAGGAAAGGGCUUGGAUUCCAGGAUAUGCUGAGCAGCUUAAGCUCACACAGUUCAGGCUACAAGAGCUGUCAAGAUGAUUUUUUGCUGUUUCUGCAAAUGAACUUUUCCAUCUUGUUUGCUUUCUGCUAAGACAGGAAACAGCAACACAGAUUGUCUAUCUAAAGGCAGCACAUUUCAUAUGAAACAGAAGUUCUCAUUACAGCUGUCUGCUCUGCACUGCAGCCUAUCAAGCAGCCUGGAAACACUGGGCAGGAUAAUUGUCAGUGCUGUAACAAGAAGAUGUGUAAUAACAUGUAAAUAUUUCUGCAUGUUAGAAAUUAUGUCAUAACAAAAUUGACUUGGCUUUUACACAAAGUUCUGUACCUGAGAUGAAUCACUUUGGUGCGUAAUCUAGUAACGUUCUCUUUUUUUGCAAUUGUGUUAUAUAAAUGCUUUUACAAGGUGUGUAUAACCCAGCAACACUGUGAGGGCUGGAUUCCCAAAACACCUGAGCAUGUUGUUCUCCACUGAGCAAAUGUGCAGGUGAAAAAACCAUCUUGUAUUCCAGUGAAGACUUCUUUGCACUCAAUCAAACAAUGAAAUAACUCGCAAAAGUUAACAUCAGCGUGAUUUUAACAAUAAAGUCUUGUAGAAGUCAGGACGGGCAGAGCUCUUUGAACAGAAAUGGAAAGCAUGUCUGCAUUGUGCAAGGAUGUGCAAAGGGAGAACCUGAGCUAGCACAUACCCAAACUGGUCUGUCUGCUUGGCAGAGCGGAGUGCCAGGCUACCCGCCUGUGCCUUGGAAGCAGGAGAGAGCAGCAGUGUGAUACCACACCCAAGUAAUGAGCUUGGCAUCACUGUGCUGACACGGCCACCCUCCUCCAGAUUCCAGGGCCCCAUCAGCCCAGGCAUGUGUGCAGUGUGCUGUGUUACACUGCAGGGGUAGGCUCAGACUUACAUGGAUCUUUGGAUCAAGUGCAAAAUGAAGGAUUCAAGAGAGUGAAGAAAAGCAACCCCUCAAGUAUAGGAAGAACAA